AUGCGCUUUGCGGUCCUGGGCAGCAACAUCGUCAUCGUCACCAACCCACGCUGUGGCCAGGCUCCCACACUUUUCUAUGAUACGAAAAGAACAGGACUCGCCGUCGGCCCUCCACUCCCCGGUCCACUGGUAGGUGACUUCCACACCUCCGUGGCCACUGCGGAUAUGCUGUAUGCGCUGAGUUUUCACCAUAGGAAUCAGCAGCACUCCUUUGAGGUGAUGUCUUGGGAAUCUCCAAAUCCUCAUACCAUGAGCUGGUCAUGGACAAGUGUGCCCUCACCACCCCCGUUCGAGGAGGAUGAAUGGAUCGCCUCCUACGCCGUGCACCCUGAUGGACGCACCAUCUUCAUGUCUGGGGUCAACAAGUACAAUCUCAAGCGCCGGACCUUCUCUUUCGACACCGGCUACUGCGAGUGGAGGUUUCAUGGGGAAUGGGCCUUGCCUUUCCAAGGCCAGGGCUACUAUGACAAGACGCUGGACGGAUGGGUUGGCCUUCACGAGGAUGGCUACAUCUGCGCCUGCCAAGUCGCCCCCCGCAGCCGCGCAAGUACCAUGCAGCCGGAGUGGAAGAUUGUCAAGGGGAAGUUGUUCCACAAGGUCCCGGAGAGGAAACGAGCGGCCUCAUAUGCCACUCUAACAUGCAUGGGCAAUGCCAGAUUUUGCCUUGUGGAGUGUGUGGUACGCGAGGAAGUGGAGUAUGAGGACGCCUUAGGUGAUUGUGAUGGUUGCAUGCUCCUUAUGACCAAGUUUGGCCUCAAGUACUCUCAUAAUGGAGAGUUGCAAACCAUCAAUCGCACCACCAACUCCUAUGUGUUGUCCAAGCAUAUCACCGGGUUUUCUCCUGUAGCCUUCUGGAUGUAG
This 861-nucleotide ribosomal RNA is filed under the name Triticum aestivum (bread wheat). RNAcentral describes it as "partial small subunit ribosomal RNA". Lineage: Eukaryota; Viridiplantae; Streptophyta; Magnoliopsida; Poales; Poaceae. The record is from RNAcentral.